This 253-nucleotide ribosomal RNA is filed under the name uncultured bacterium. RNAcentral's name for it is "partial 16S ribosomal RNA". It matches the Rfam family "Bacterial small subunit ribosomal RNA", at positions 524 to 776 of the family's 1533-position model. The record is from RNAcentral.
UACGUAGGGUGCGAGCGUUAAUCGGAAUUACUGCGCGUAAAGCGUGCGCAGGCGGUUUUGUAAGCCAGAUGUGAAAUCCCCGGGCUUAACCUGGGAAUGGCAUUUGGGACUGCAAGGCUGGAGUGCGGCAGAGGAGACUGGAAUUCCUGGUGUAGCAGUGAAAUGCGUAGAUAUCAGGAGGAAUACCGAUGGCGAAGGCAGGUCUCUGGGCUGACACUGACGCUCAUGCACGAAAGCGUGGGGAGCAAACAGG